UUCGUCUGCUUCAGGGAGUCGUUCUUCUUCCAAGUGGGAUCUCAGGCAAGAUGAUAAUUAUCCUAGAUACCAUUACUAUCAUUGACAUUUUAGUUGUUUCAUUUCUAUUACUAUGCCGUGCUGCCUAGCACCUGAUAAAUAUCAACCUCUCAUCAUUGCCUUGAAACCUUCAACCUUUCUACAACCUAGCAAACCGCUGAUUGGCUAUGUUACCACUUUCUUAACCAUUUGAUAGCAUUGCUAGUUGCAGGUGUAGUUUCUUCCAUGUGAUAACAUGGGUUCCUUGUUAUAUAACCUUAUUAAUGCUAUUUAAUUCAAUGCACCUAUGUACUUGGUAAAAGGUG
This 344-nucleotide long non-coding RNA is filed under the name Hordeum vulgare. Its description in RNAcentral is "long non-coding RNA (HVUL_LNC009940)". Lineage: Eukaryota; Viridiplantae; Streptophyta; Magnoliopsida; Poales; Poaceae. The record is from RNAcentral.